CUGAUUUUCUCCCUCCUAAUGAAGAAGCCAACAAAACCUUCGAAGCAGGGAACAAUUUGGGAGUCAUUUUUGAAGGAGAAAACGCUGCUAUCGUGGACUAUCUUUCCAAAUGAAUUUCUGUGGAUCGCGGAGCUUUUAUCCAAACCUAUUAAAGCCAGGCAGCUUGGCAUUUUGGCGAGCAUCUUUUCUUUUUUUGUAAUCAUGUUGUGCUUCUUAUCAUGGAAUGUAAGGGGAGUUGGGAGUUGUGCUAAACAAUGUCAUCUCAAAAGUUCGAUAAAAAAAACACCAACUGGAUGUUAUAGCUCUUCUUGAGACAAAAUGCACUUCUGUUUCCUUUGCACUAGCAAGAAGUCUUUGGGGUAUGGGAGACCUAGGUUGGACUUCCAUAGAUGCAAAUGGUUCUUCUGGUCCUUAUGGUGCUUUGGAAUAAGAGAUCCUUCUGUGUUAAUAAAUGUGAAAUCUUCACUCGUUGGGUUCUAAUUGAAGGUAAAAUCCUCAGCUGUAAUUUUAAUUCUUUACUUGCUUUUGUGUAUGCUCCUUGUGAUGUCCAGGAAUAAGAAUCUCUAUGGCUAGAAAUUAUCCACAAAUUAAGAGACGCAAGUGAUCCUAUUUUGCUUAUUGGAGACUUUAAUCAAGUCCUGGAGGUCACUAACAGAAGAAGUUGCAGAUUUUCACUUGCUGGGAUGAACAAUUUUCAUUCUUUUGUGGAUGAUUUAGGGCUGGUUGACAUCCCUCUCUUAGGAAAGAUGUACACUUGGAGAAAUUCAGUAUCUAUGAGUAACAUUGAUAGAGCUCUAGUCUCUGCUCAUUGGAUCUCCAAGUUCCCCAAUUUGUUUUUCAAUGGAUUGCCACAUGCCAUCAGAUCAUAAUCCCAUCAUUUUGACUACAGAGUCUCUGAAUUGGGGUCCUAAGCCUGUAAGAUUCCUUGAUGUUUGGUGGACAUGGCUUAAAUUUCUUGAAAUUGUAGAGGACUUCUGGAAAGAAAUCUCUGAUGCCAACUUAGGCUUCUGGAAAGAAAUCUUUGAUGCUAACUCUUACUCUACGCUUCCUUUUAAAGUUAAGCUUUUGAAGAGGAAAUUGCAAAUUUGGAACCUGUCUGUGUUUGGAAAUGUGAAAACAAAGCUAAACAAUCUAAAGAGUGCUUUAGAUAAGUGGGAGAACGCGGCAGAAAAUCGUAUCCUCACUUUGUCAGAAUUGUCACUAGUUCAACACUUAAAAUCACAAAAGAAGGCAUGGGCUAAUCAUGUAGAAUCAGUUUGGAGGCAUAAAUCAUUAGUUAAUUGAUGUAAACUGGGAGAUAAAAGCACAAAAUUCUUCCAUAUUCAGCGUAGCAACAGAUGGAGGAAGAAUUAUAUUCGCUCUAUUUUUGAUAAGGGGUGCAUCUUGACAGAUAAAUUAUCAAUUCAGAAGGCUAUUUUGGACCACUUCCAACCCCAGUUCUACUAGUUAUGCCCAUUUGUUGGUCGUUGCCCUGCUUUAAGUUACAAAAGGUUAAACCCCAUUGAUGCUCAAAGACUAGAAGAAGUUUUCACUUCAGAGGAGAUAAAAGAAGCAGUUUGGCAGUGUGAUUAGGGCCAAGCACCUAGCUCGGACGGUGCAAAUUUCCUUUUUUAUAAAAAUGCUUGGUUGUUGAUUAAGGAAGACAUGUUUAAAAUGGUUAUAGAAUUUUAUAACUACUCUUCUGUCCCGUACGUCAUCAAUUCUUCUUUCAUUGCUUUGGUGCCG
This 1725-nucleotide unclassified non-coding RNA is filed under the name Hevea brasiliensis (rubber tree). The record is from RNAcentral. Lineage: Eukaryota; Viridiplantae; Streptophyta; Magnoliopsida; Malpighiales; Euphorbiaceae.